AUGACACCAUCAUCAUGGUGGAGGGCUCGGAGGGUGACCUUGCCAAUCUUAAGUUUCUCCUCCUGUGCUUCCAGCAGAUGUCUGGGCUUAAAAUCAACUUCGACAAGAGUGAAGUUAUGGUCCUUGGGUAUUCUCCUGAGGAGGCCCAGCUCAUUGCGGACCGCCUCAACUGCCAGCUGGGAUCCUUCCCCACGACUUACCUGGGGGUUCCCAUUAGUGAUUCGCGACUAUCCGUCGCGGAUCUUCGGCCCACAGUGA
RNAcentral lists this ribosomal RNA (258 nucleotides) under Triticum aestivum (bread wheat). Its description in RNAcentral is "partial small subunit ribosomal RNA". The record is from RNAcentral. Lineage: Eukaryota; Viridiplantae; Streptophyta; Magnoliopsida; Poales; Poaceae.